Musa acuminata AAA Group (dessert banana) is the source of this 791-nucleotide RNA transcript. It is a transcript of the gene named 10 kDa chaperonin 1, chloroplastic-like, with no coding region annotated. The transcript has 7 exons. Lineage: Eukaryota; Viridiplantae; Streptophyta; Magnoliopsida; Zingiberales; Musaceae. The record is from RefSeq and is a predicted model, not a curated record.
CUUCCUAAACCCCAUUCUUAUCCUCGGCCAUGGCUUCCUCUGUUCUCGCCGCCGCCAAGCCUCUCCUCCACCCUUCUCAUCCUCGUACUCCUCCUCCAUCUCGUGGCGCAGGUGGCCCUUGCCUCCGCUGGAGCCUCUCGGCCUCGCGUAGGAGCGCCGCGCUCAGGGUUCACGCCCUCAAAUGUGAACCGUCCAAGAUAGCUCCGCAAGCCGAUCGGGUACUCGUUCGUCUCGAGGAGCUCCCCGAGAAAUCUGCUGGUGGAGUACUACUUCCAAAGUCAGCUGUUAAGUUUGAACGGUAUCUAAUGGGUGAGAUUCUGUCUGUUGGCUCUGACGUCACUGAGGUGGAAGCUGGGAAGAAGGUUCUUUUCUCAGACAUUAAUGCAUAUGAGGUGGACUUGGGGACGGACACGAAGCACUGUUUUUGCAAAGCCAGUGAUCUGCUAGCUGUUGUCGAGUAGAUAUCUAGUAAAUUUAUCAUGUUUGGUCUUCUUAGGUCUGCAUGGUGAUCUAAGUGCAGUCUUUUUCUUCUUGGGUAACCUAGCCUUCCGAGUAUAAUGUUUGGAGAAGAACAGGUAUAUGUCUGUCCACUUCUUUGGGUAACCUAGCUUACAAGUGACAUACUGUAGCAGCAUUGUCAUGUUAGAUUGCAUGUAUAUGAUUUAGGGAAAAACCCUCCAUUUGUUUUGUUUUUUGGUCCAGCGUUCCCUACUGGAAAUGCUAGUAAGAUUAGUAUUAAUACAUUCUAUGGAUCGGUUCAUAGGAUAAAUUGAUCCAAUCUCUAUACAUAA